Molecule: small nuclear RNA, 279 nt
Filed under: Melopsittacus undulatus (budgerigar)
Lineage: Eukaryota; Metazoa; Chordata; Aves; Psittaciformes; Psittaculidae
Description: 7SK RNA
Rfam family: 7SK RNA
About the family: 7SK was discovered as an abundant small nuclear RNA in the mid-70s but a possible function has only recently been suggested. Two independent studies have found that 7SK RNA binds the CDK9/cyclin T complex (known as elongation factor P-TEFb).
Source: Rfam by way of RNAcentral
GCCUGUUUGACAGAUGUUGAGACACCUGUCACCCCACUGAUCACCAGGGUUGAUUUGAUAAUCUGUCUGGCUAGACGAGUGUCCCCUUCCUCCCUCACCACUCCACAUGUGUCCCUCUGGAAGCUGCACACUCAAAGAGGAUGACAUUCCCCGGCACAGGCGGUACCAUUCAUCAGUCAUGGGUAUAUGGUAGCUGCGCUCCCCUGCUAGGAUCUCCAAACAAGCUCAAGGUCCGUUUGCAGGGGAACAAAGGGUAGUCAAGCUUCCAAGACUGCAGGG